CCUACGGGGGGCUGCAGUGGGGAAUAUUGGACAAUGGGCGCAAGCCUGAUCCAGCCACGCCGCGUGAGUGAUGAAGGCCUUCGGGUCGUAAAGCUCUGUGGGGAGGGACGAACAAACCGCUGAAGAGGCGGGACUGACGGUACCUCCUUAGCAAGCACCGGCUAACUUCGUGCCAGCAGCCGCGGUAAUACGAAGGGUGCAAACGUUGCUCGGAAUCAUUGGGCGUAAAGCGCACGUAGGCGGCCCGUUAAGUCGGAUGUGAAAUCCCUCGGCUC
RNAcentral lists this ribosomal RNA (275 nucleotides) under uncultured Kofleria sp. RNAcentral's name for it is "partial 16S ribosomal RNA". It matches the Rfam family "Bacterial small subunit ribosomal RNA", at positions 338 to 610 of the family's 1533-position model. The record is from RNAcentral. Lineage: Bacteria; Pseudomonadati; Myxococcota; Haliangiales; Kofleriaceae.